This 492-nucleotide ribosomal RNA is filed under the name uncultured bacterium. RNAcentral's name for it is "partial 16S ribosomal RNA". It matches the Rfam family "Bacterial small subunit ribosomal RNA", at positions 29 to 507 of the family's 1533-position model. The record is from RNAcentral.
AGUGAACGCUGGCGGUAGGCCUAACACAUGCAAGUCGAACGGCAGCACAGUAAGAGCUUGCUCUUACGGGUGGCGAGUGGCGGACGGGUGAGGAAUACAUCGGAAUCUACUUUUUCGUGGGGGAUAACGUAGGGAAACUUACGCUAAUACCGCAUACGACCUACGGGUGAAAGCAGGGGAUCUUCGGACCUUGCGCGAUUGAAUGAGCCGAUGUCGGAUUAGCUAGUUGGCGGGGUAAAGGCCCACCAAGGCGACGAUCCGUAGCUGGUCUGAGAGGAUGAUCAGCCACACUGGAACUGAGACAACGUCCAGACUCCUAAGGGAGGCAGCAGUGGGGAAUAUUUGACAAUGGGCGCAAGCCUGAUCCAGCCAUACCGCGUGGGGUAAGAAGGCCUUUGGGUUGUAAAGCCCUUUUGUUGGGAAAGAAAAGGAGCAGGUUAAUACCCCGCCUUUCUGACGGUACCCAAAGAAUAAGCACCGGCUAACUUCGUG